Molecule: long non-coding RNA, 293 nt
Filed under: Fragaria vesca (wild strawberry)
Lineage: Eukaryota; Viridiplantae; Streptophyta; Magnoliopsida; Rosales; Rosaceae
Description: long non-coding RNA (FVES_LNC003019)
Source: RNAcentral
UCUCUCUCUCUCUCUCUCUCUCUCUCUCUCUCUCUCUCUCUCUCUCUCUCUCUCUCUCUCUUUAGUCUCUUAUCGUCGAAGAUCGUCGACAUGGAUCGUGAACGGAGCUCCGGUCUUCGAUUGUAAAUACAUGCACUCCUCAACUGAUACCUCCUCUCCGCUGUGCUCAACCGCCGCAUCUCUCUCUCCCUCUCCAUCUCCGGCUUGGUCCUUCUUCUUCAUCGCCGUCCAAGUCUUCGAUCGUCUUCUUCUUUCAAGGUAAUCAGAGAGGAUCUAAUAGUUUCUGUUCUNNN